This 148-nucleotide non-coding RNA is filed under the name Pan troglodytes (chimpanzee). Lineage: Eukaryota; Metazoa; Chordata; Mammalia; Primates; Hominidae. The record is from Rfam by way of RNAcentral.
GCCGGGCAUGGUGGCGGGUGCCUGUAAUCCCAGGUACUCGGGAGGCUGAGGUAGGAGAAUCACUUGAACCUGGGAGGCCGAGGUUGCAGUGAGCUGAGAUCGUGCCACUGCACUCCAGCCUGGGUAAUAGAGUGAGACUCCAUCUUAA